CCAAUAGCGUAUAUUAAAGUUGCUGCAGUUAAAAAGCUCGUAGUUGAAUUUCGGGACCAUCAUGUCGGUCGUGCCUCGGUACGUACUGGCAUUGUUGGUUUCUCCCUUCUGACGAACCAUGAUGUCAUUUAUUUGGUGUUGUGGGAAUCAGGACUGUUACUUUGAAAAAAUUAGAGUGUUUAAAGCAGGCUCACGCUUGAAUACAUUAGCAUGGAAUAAUGAAGUAGGACGUUUGAUUCUAUUUUGUUGGUUUCUAGGAUUGACGUAAUGAUUAAUAGGGAUAGUUGGGGGCAUUAGUAUUCAAUUGUCAGAGGUGAAAUUCUUGGAUUUAUUGAAGACUAACUACUGCGAAAGCAUUUGCCAAGGAUGUUUUCAUUAAUCAAGAACGAAAGUUAGGGGAUCGAAGACGAUCAGAUACCGUCGUAGUCUUAACCAUAAACUAUGCCGACUAGGGAUCGGAUGAUGUUAAUUUUUUAAUGACUCAUUCGGCGCCUUACG
This 498-nucleotide ribosomal RNA is filed under the name uncultured Glomeromycotina. RNAcentral's name for it is "partial small subunit ribosomal RNA". It matches the Rfam family "Eukaryotic small subunit ribosomal RNA", at positions 591 to 1092 of the family's 1831-position model. The record is from RNAcentral. Lineage: Eukaryota; Fungi; Glomeromycota.